Molecule: unclassified non-coding RNA, 232 nt
Filed under: Hevea brasiliensis (rubber tree)
Lineage: Eukaryota; Viridiplantae; Streptophyta; Magnoliopsida; Malpighiales; Euphorbiaceae
Source: RNAcentral
AGAUAAUUUCUUCAUCAAGAGAACCUCCGGGCAAAAGACUUGGAUUCCAGGCGAAGCAAACUAUUCGGAUGUCAAGAAUAUUAUCGGGCCAUUACAACAGGGCACGUGGUGAAAUGUACAAUUUUAUUUUUUUAGGGAGAAUUUGAGAACUACGUGGACCUGAUCCUCCAUUUUAUAUUGUAAGGAGGUACGUAGGCAGCUUUAGGGUGCGGUCCAAAGUAUGUAAAAAAAA